This 422-nucleotide ribosomal RNA is filed under the name uncultured bacterium. RNAcentral describes it as "bacterial SSU rRNA". It matches the Rfam family "Bacterial small subunit ribosomal RNA", at positions 355 to 774 of the family's 1533-position model. The record is from RNAcentral.
UGAGGAAUAUUGGUCAAUGGGCGCAAGCCUGAACCAGCCAUGCCGCGUGCAGGAAGACGGUCCUAUGGAUUGUAAACUGCUUUUAUUUGGGAAUAAACCUCUUUACGUGUAGAGAGCUGAAGGUACCAAAUGAAUAAGCACCGGCUAACUCCGUGCCAGCAGCCGCGGUAAUACGGAGGGUGCAAGCGUUACCCGGAAUCAUUGGGUUUAAAGGGUCCGCAGGCGGUCUUAUAAGUCAGUGGUGAAAGCCUACAGCUCAACUGUAGAACUGCCAUGGAUACUGUAAGACUUGAAUUCGAGAGAGGUGGGCGGAAUAUGAGGUGUAGCGGUGAAAUGCGUAGAUAUGUCGAAGAACACCGGUAGCGAAGGAGGCUCACUGGGUCUGGAUUGACGCUGAGGGGCGAAAGCGUGGGGAGCAAACA